GUGGAUUAGAUACCCUAGUAGUCCACGCCGUAAACGGUGGGUGCUAGCUGUGGGCCACAUUCCACGUGGUCCGUAACGAAGUUAACACAUUAAGCACCCCGCCUGGGGAGUACGGCCGCAAGGCUAAAACUCAAAGGAAUUGACGGGGGCCCGCACAAGCGGCGGAGCAUGCGGAUUAAUUCGAUGCAACGCGAAGAACCUUACCAAGGCUUGACAUGUAGAGGAAAAGUGCAGAGAUGCACUCCCCGCAAGGUCUCUACACAGGUGGUGCACGGCCGUCGUCAACU
Molecule: ribosomal RNA, 287 nt
Filed under: uncultured bacterium
Lineage: Bacteria
Description: partial 16S ribosomal RNA
Rfam family: Bacterial small subunit ribosomal RNA
Source: RNAcentral